This 274-nucleotide ribosomal RNA is filed under the name uncultured bacterium. Its description in RNAcentral is "partial 16S ribosomal RNA". It matches the Rfam family "Bacterial small subunit ribosomal RNA", at positions 523 to 796 of the family's 1533-position model. The record is from RNAcentral.
AUACGGAGGGUGCAAGCGUUAAUCGGAAUUACUGGGCGUAAAGCGUACGUAGGCGGUUAUUUAAGUCAGGUGUGAAAGCCCCGGGCUUAACUUGGGAACUGCAUUUGAAACUGGGUAACUAGAGUUUAGUAGAGGGGAGUGGAAUUUCAGGUGUAGCGGUGAAAUGCGUAGAGAUCUGAAGGAACACCAGUGGCGAAGGCGACUCCCUGGACUAAAACUGACGCUGAGGUACGAAAGCGUGGGUAGCAAACAGGAUUAGAAACCCGGGUAGUCC